GAUGAAGAACGUAGCGAAAUGCGAUAAGUAAUGUGAAUUGCAGAAUUCAGUGAAUCAUCGAAUCUUUGAACGCACAUUGCGCCCGCUAGUAUUCUGGCGGGCAUGCCUGUCCGCGCGUCAUUUCAACCCUCAAGCCCCCGGGCUUGGUGUUGGGGAUCGGCGAGCCUCCGCGCCCGCCGUCCCCUAAAUCUAGUGGCGGUCUCGCUGUAGCUUCCUCUGCGUAGUAGCACACCUCGCACUGGGAAACAGCGCGGCCACGCCGUUAACCCCCAACUUCUGAACGUUUGACCUCGGAUCAGGUAGGAAUACCCGCUGAACUUAAGCAUAUCAAUAAGCGGAGGA
RNAcentral lists this unclassified non-coding RNA (342 nucleotides) under soil metagenome. RNAcentral's name for it is "partial contains 5.8S ribosomal RNA, internal transcribed spacer 2, and large subunit ribosomal RNA". The stretch from base 1 to 120 matches the Rfam family "5.8S ribosomal RNA", at positions 35 to 154 of the family's 154-position model. The record is from RNAcentral.